AACGUAGGGGGCGAGCGAUAUCCGGAAUUAUUGGGCGUAAAGAGCUCGUAGGCGGUGUGUCGCGUCGGCCGUGAAAACCUGCAGCUUAACUGUGGGCUUGCGGUCGAUACGGGCAUCACUGGAGUUCGGCAGGGGAGACUGGAAUUCCUGGUGUAGCGGUGAAAUGCGCAGAUAUCAGGAGGAACACCGGUGGCGAAGGCGGGUCUCUGGGCCGAUACUGACGCUGAGGAGCGAAAGCGUGGGGAGCGAACAGG
Molecule: ribosomal RNA, 254 nt
Filed under: uncultured bacterium
Lineage: Bacteria
Description: partial 16S ribosomal RNA
Rfam family: Bacterial small subunit ribosomal RNA
Source: RNAcentral